AUGGAGAGAAAAAAAAAAAAAGCAAAACAACGAAAUCGUAACGGGGAAAGCGCCUUCCCCGCUCCCGCCGCGCCCGGCCCGGCUCCUUUAUCUCGGGACCGACCCGGGCCUCGUUUUUGCAAGUUCCCGUUUCAUUUCGAUCCGUUCCGGCUUGGCUCCGCCGGGGACGGACAGACGGACAUUGUCCCCGGAUUGUCCCCGGGAGCCGCCGGGUUUAUUUUCCUCCAGCCCUUCCCGGCCCGGCAGCGCUCGCCACCACCGCGGGUUUUAUCGAAUGAUAAUUAUAAUUCUGAUACUUUUUAUUUUUUUUUUCGUGGGAUAAGAAGAAAAGCGAACCAAAACGAAACGCGAGUCCCGGUUCCAGCCCGGGAAGUUAUUUCCCGGCUACGAAACGAUCGGGCCGAGGGCGGCGGCGGUGCCCGCCUCGCCGAAACGAAUUUCCCCCGGUUCCCGUUCACACGGGGCGCGGAACCAGGGCGCCGGGAGGCACCGGGCCAGACCCCGCUGUGCCGUGCCCCCCUCCCCGCCAAGCCCCCCCGCUCUGCAGCUCUUGGUCCCCGCUUUUUCGUUUCUUUCCUAAAGCGCCCCCCCCUCUCCCUUUCCUUUUUUUGCUUGGGGUUUUUCGGAUUUCUCCACGCUUUAGGGCUGCGGGUUUGUCCCGUCCCCCCCUCCUCAAGCCCCGACCCUUUUUCCUGGGACAAAGCCGAGCAAGGAGCCGCCUCCCCCGCCGUGCCCGGUGGGUGCCCGCAGCCCACCUCCGGGCUCUGCAGCCUCGGGGAAGGCCCGGGAUGGCGGCACGGGCGGUGCUCGGUACCGGGACCGCGAUCCGUACAGCAGGGGGGGGUCCCCAACCCCCCCAGCCCAGCGCCCGGGAGCCGGAUCCCCUCUGCUGAUGUGUCGCUGCUUGCUUCUUUACCUCUCAUCCCCUUCUCCCGUGUCCCCCCCAGUGGCCCUCUCACCCUUCACUGUAACACGCCGUAUAGGUCACCCCUACCAGAACCGCACGCCCCCCAAGAAGAAGAAGCCGCGCACGUCCUUCACCCGCCUGCAGAUCUGCGAGCUGGAGAAGCGCUUCCACCGCCAGAAGUACCUGGCCUCGGCCGAGCGCGCUGCCCUGGCCAAGGCCCUGAAGAUGACGGACGCGCAGGUGAAGACCUGGUUCCAGAACCGGCGCACCAAGUGGAGGAGGCAGACGGCGGAGGAGCGGGAGGCCGAGCGGCAGCAAGCGAACCGCAUCCUGAUGCAGCUGCAGCAGGAGGCCUUCCAAAAAACCAUCAACCAGCCCAUCCAAGCCGACCCCAUCUGCGUCCACAACUCCUCUCUCUUCGCCCUGCAGAACCUCCAGCCCUGGUCCGACGACUCCACCAAGAUCACCAGCGUCACCACCGUCGCCUCCGCCUGCGAGUAAAGGCUCGGCACCUUCGGCGUCCCCCUUUUGUCACCGCCGCCUCCGGCCACACGUGCGUCCCACGGAGCAAAGGGCGAGGACUGACGGGAGGGGAAAACCACCCCAAAAACUCUCCCCGCCCGUGGGGCUGCCGGAGCAGCGGUGUCGUCUCGCCUCCCCCCCAACCCUUUUGUUCUUCCCAAAGUCUCCGGUGCCGACCACGAACUUCCUGACGCGCCGCCAGACAAAAGCUGAGCCCUGACAGACGCGGCCGCGGGCGAGCGCCCAGCUUGGGGGAGAAACUUCCUCUGGGUUCUGCAGGGCUCGGGGCACCCCUAUAGGUCCCUAUGUGUAUAUAUAAAUCCCAUAUAUAUAUACACACAGACACCCUUCGGACUGAUGGAGACAAAAGGACGAGGCUCCCUGGGAAGCGCGUUCCUGCAGCCAGGCGUUGUGCCGGGCCGUUGGCGCUGGAGACGUUUUGGGGAUGCAACAAAUGGAGGAAACAACCCGGCUUUUUGAUUUGAUUUUUAUUUUUAUUUUAUUUUUUUUUCCUCCUCCCGGCAGCAAUUUCUGCUGGCGACAGAUGCGAACCCUUCGGAUCUCACCUAGCCGUGUCUCCUCCCCUUUUUCAUUAAUUUUUUCGUGCGAGGGGGGAAUAAGCCAAGGAACUGACAGACUCCUGAGGACGGUAAACGUGAUAGCUCAAUCGCAGGAAGAGCCCAAACUGUCCCCGGCUGCCACGGACUCGGCGCCGAUCAAGCCUGCGUUUUAAUAACGAGAAGACCUCGGUGGCAGUUGGCAGGGGUAACGCGGUUUCUUUCGAUGGGUUUAUUUCCAUAUCAUUUGCAAAAUGCUGUCCGGUGUUUUCGUUUUCCCUGUUUUCCUUGAUGAGGCAGUUCGCGAGGGCAAAAAGCGAUCCGAUUUCACUCCCGACUUCGUUGUUUCUUUAACUGAGGGAAUGAGACACAAUUAAACAAAGCACUUCCUAUAGCAAAGGCCAGGAAUAUAUAGAUAUAUAUAUAUACAGUAUAUAUUUUUUGGUUACUUAUAAUCUAAAUCAGCACUGCCAAUUUAAACAGCUAGCACAAACGAGCGAUCAGAAAUCCUAUUUUCAGCGAGAUUUUAAAAGGCAUUCGUUUGUUUGUUCGUUUGUUUUUUAAGUUAUGCACUUCUACGGUGUUUUACGUGUAUUCAUUUUAUAAAGUGCUUGUGUAAUUUAUGUGGAAACGAAAAGGAAAAUAAAAAAAAAUAAUAAUCUCCAGGGUACUGAAUAAAUCAUUUCAUGCCUUGCUCUUCCCUGCCUAUUAGCUCCCCGAGAGGAGCCAGCAGAUCGGAGCGAGCGCUGCAGCCUCCUCUAUUUGUUUAGGAUGAAAAUAGCAUUAGCAUUUCCUUCUGACUUUGCUCAAGUCCCCUCGGCUCGGGAAGCUCUGGAGAUAACAGGGGGUAUUUUAAUCCCUCGUCCUGGAGCCGUUUUCAGGCUCCGAGCAGCACCUGGUUUGAUCCCAUCCCUGGGUGCGCCUCCUGCACGCGUGGGGGAAAUUCCCUGAGCGGGACCCACGGCGCUCACCUCGGUGUUGGCAUCCAGGAUUUUGUGCAGAAGUGGGGCUGAGGAUAAAGGAAUCUCCAACGUUUUAGCCACAGCCUGGCAGGGGAUUAUUUUUGGGACUAUUUUUUUGUCUGUGCUCAGCUUUAUUCCGGGGCACCGUCCCUAGCCAGGCAGAAGAAAACCCCACCGGGGGAAAAAUUCUCCCUGGUUUCCUCAGGGGAUGCUCCCAGGCUCAUGGCCAGGGACGUGGCCUUGCCUUCAGCCUGGCAUUUCCUUCAGUGCUGGGAACUGCCGGGCAGAGGAUGUGCAAGGAGGGGGCUGCAAACUCGGCCAGCCCCCAGCUCUUGCCCUUGGUCUUGUGGGGUGCACAAUAAAACAGCCCCAGCUGCUGCAGGACCCAAACUCAGUCCUUGGGGAAAGCUCCUCUGGAGAUUGUUAGGAGAGUGUAGGUAUAAGCUAUUUUUUAUUAUUAUUAUUAUUUUUUCAAAAUCAAUUAUUGUGGAGUUGGGUUCCAAAUUUAUGGUGCUUCAGGCUUUUCCUACCCAUCCUUCAGUCCAACACGCAAGUGAACGCAGAGAAGCAUCUGCAGAGGUGGAGAGACAAGAAGCCAAAAACAAACAAAAAAAACAAAACAAGAGAAAACGUGGGAAAAUAAGUAAAAUACACAGACCACAAAUUUCUGGGGAUGUGUUUAAAAAGAUACCUGCUUACAAAAAAAAAAAAAAAGAUAAAUAACAUAGCUUGUAUUUUUUUUUUUCCAAGAUAACUUUGACAGAGGUCUUUUGUUUGAAUUCUGUUUCGUACCACAGACAGAUUUUUAAGAGCUGAUUAAGCUACUUAUUUAAUAUGUGCCCAACUUUGGCUGCAAAGAGAAUGCCGUGCUUAGUGCUUAAUCCUUGCGGAGGCAUCGCCGUGUGCAGGGCUGGGAUGGCUCACAGCGUGGGGCUCUGCUCGCUUUCCUUUCCAAGGUUUUUGUGCAGGAAAAAAAAAAACAAAAAAACACCAACCACAAAAUAAAUUGUGAAGGGAUCACGGUGCUCACCGCUGAUAUUAAAAGUGUUUUCUAUUUUAUUAUUAUGACACAUCAAUAUCUUACAAUUUAAUUCCGAGACAACCAUUUUAUAAUAUCCACAUUAUUCAUUUCAUAUUCCAAAAUGUUUCCCGGCGAAGUCGAACGUAUGAUAAUGCACACCCGAGGGCAUGCGUUUAAAUACAAUCUUUAGCUACACCUUGUUCUAAAAACUGUUGACUUCCUCCUUUUCUUAUCAAUCUUUCCUGUUUUAAAAAAAGACCAAAAAAAGAAAAAAAGAAGUCUUGAUAUGCAACGACAAUAUAUGUAGUGUUGGAACCAGAAAAAUUCUCGUCCGGUCUUUCUUGUUCUUGGAACAAUUGCUGCUGGAAGGGGUUUCUGUUCAAAUAUUUCUCCUGGAUUUGUUUUUAGAAUUGGUUUAGUCGCAGGAGGGUUUUUUUUUUUGCUAUCUGCAUACAUGCUUCCAGUUAUUAACAUGAUGAACUGUACCCAGACAAUGAAAGUUGCCUGAAAUAUGAUGGAAUUAAAUCAAUAAGCAAUGACACGAAACGGUGACAUAUAAUUAUACGUUUUGUAGACUGACAUCACCUCAGACAUAUCCUGGGGCCAUCCAUACCACACUGAAGGCUGAUUUCACUUCUCGUAUUGUGCCUGCUUGGGAACAGGACCACAAACGCACUGCGAAGCAUUGAAAGGCAUUUCCCACCUCCGCGUAUCUCAAAACGUAGCAAAGCCCAAAUGUGAAACCAGAGGUGGUGCAAGAGGUUUUUCCAGCGUUCGCCUGCCCGUCUCGAGGAGGUGCAAAGCCAG
RNAcentral lists this long non-coding RNA (4776 nucleotides) under Anas zonorhyncha (Eastern spot-billed duck). RNAcentral's name for it is "lncRNA (ENSAZOG00000013016.1)". Lineage: Eukaryota; Metazoa; Chordata; Aves; Anseriformes; Anatidae. The record is from RNAcentral.